RNAcentral lists this ribosomal RNA (1020 nucleotides) under Triticum aestivum (bread wheat). RNAcentral describes it as "partial small subunit ribosomal RNA". Lineage: Eukaryota; Viridiplantae; Streptophyta; Magnoliopsida; Poales; Poaceae. The record is from RNAcentral.
AUGGAGUCGCAGCUGCAGGGCAAUGGAGAGCAGGCCACGGACGCGCGCUACCACGACGCCGCGUCGGCGGCGCCGGCCAGCAAUGCGCCGCUGGCCAUAGCGGUGGUCCCGGCGGCCGCGCACGGGCCCAUCGUGCCGAAGCCGGAGCAGGCGCCGGGGGAGUUCCUGGGCGGGCUCGCCGUGGCGCUCCCGCCGCGGAACCGCGACCGGCACACCAAGGUCGAGGGCCGCGGGCGGCGCAUCCGCAUGGCGGCGCCCUGCGCGGCGAGGGUCGCACAGCUCACGCGCGAGCUCGGCCACAAGACCGACGGCGACACCAUCCGCUGGCUCCUGCAGCAGUCGGAGCCGGCCAUCGUCGCCGCCACGGGCACGGGGACGGUGCCCGCGAUCGCCACCACCGUCGACGGCGUGCUCCGCAUCCCCACCGAGUCGCCCUCCGCCGCGGGGGCCGACGGCGCGGGGCCGGCAUCCAAGCGGCGCAAGCUCCAGCCGACGCGCGCGGCGGGCGGCGCGGGGCCGCUCGUCGCGGCGCCCCCUGCGGCCUACUACCCCGUCGCGGCCGACCCCCUCCUGCAAGGCAACGGCGGCGGCGGCGCGAUUUCGGUGUCCAGCGGCCUCGCCCCCGUCUCGGCCGCGGCAGCGCCCGCGGGAGGCCACAUCCCGUUCUUCGCCCUACAGGUGCCGGCAUCCGGGGACGGGAAGCAGAUGGUUCCCCAGGCAGCCAUGUGGAUGGUUCAGCAGCCGCCCGCCGCCGGAGGCGCGCCCAACCACCCGACGCACUACUGGGCGUUCCAAUCCAACCCUGCAGAAUUCAACAACUUCCCCGGCGCACAGGCCAUCAACGUCGCCAACUACCAGCAGCAGCCGUGCUACAGCCCGAUGCAGUUCGUCGCCGCGGGCGGGGAGCCACAGGACCAGCAAGAAGCCGGUGACCAGUGCGCGGACGCCGACGACCAGAUCCAGGGCCUGGAGGACGACUACGACGGCGAGGCGUUGACUGACUCCAGCUCCGAAGAGUAG